RNAcentral lists this ribosomal RNA (459 nucleotides) under uncultured bacterium. RNAcentral describes it as "partial 16S ribosomal RNA". It matches the Rfam family "Bacterial small subunit ribosomal RNA", at positions 338 to 795 of the family's 1533-position model. The record is from RNAcentral.
CCUACGGGAGGCAGCAGUGAGGAAUAUUGGUCAAUGGGCGCGAGCCUGAACCAGCCAAGUCGCGUGAGGGAAGACGGUCCUAUGGAUUGUAAACCUCUUUUGUCGGGGAGCAAAAGACGCCACGCGUGGCGUUCCGAGAGUACCCGAAGAACAAGCAUCGGCUAACUCCGUGCCAGCAGCCGCGGUAAUACGGGGGAUGCGAGCGUUAUCCGGAUUUAUUGGGUUUAAAGGGUGCGCAGGCGGAAGAUCAAGUCAGCGGUAAAAUUGAGAGGCUCAACCUCUUCGAGCCGUUGAAACUGGUUGUCUUGAGUGAACGAGAAGUAUGCGGAAUGCGUGGUGUAGCGGUGAAAUGCAUAGAUAUCACGCAGAACUCCGAUUGCGAAGGCAGCAUACCGGCGCUCAACUGACGCUCAUGCUCGAAAGCGCGGGUAUCGAACAGGAUUAGAUACCCUGGUAGUC